Anneissia japonica is the source of this 502-nucleotide long non-coding RNA. RefSeq lists it as uncharacterized. The transcript has 3 exons. The record is from RefSeq and is a predicted model, not a curated record. NCBI's taxonomy places the organism in Eukaryota, Metazoa, Echinodermata, Crinoidea, Comatulida, Comatulidae.
UUUACUUUACUUCAUGGGUUUCCGUUAUGGAUGCGUAUGCAUAUAGUAUUAAGGUACUGGACUAUGGUGUCUAAAAUGAACUAAGGUGAAACAUUGAUAUAUAUAAGGUUCACAUAAGAUGCCACUGGAUAGCCAACCGUUAUGUAGAAGAGGAACAACAUUAUUAUCUGUAACUGAGGAACAAAUCAAGGUUGGGUUGUGCCACGGCGGCUAGCCUUCCCCACCCACCAUAAAAAAAGGGGAAAGGAGAAACAAAAAGAAUGGAGAAAGGGGGGAGGACAGUACUUUAAUUAUUUAAAUCCCAUGAACCAAUUUCUAUGAUAAGCAUUUUAAACAGAAACAGCUUUUCGAGAGGCAGAGGGGUUUGUUUUUUGUUGUGAUGGUCUGUAAGCCUAUUUGGAGGAAAUAUUAAUUACAGUGGAGGGUAGUUAGAGCAUUGUAACUGCAAGGAAAAGUGCUAGAGAAGACCCAAAGAAUUAAGUAACAUACAUGUUAUGAAAAC